Molecule: ribosomal RNA, 425 nt
Filed under: uncultured bacterium
Lineage: Bacteria
Description: partial 16S ribosomal RNA
Rfam family: Bacterial small subunit ribosomal RNA
Source: RNAcentral
GUGGGGAAUCUUGCGCAAUGGGCGAAAGCCUGACGCAGCCAUGCCGCGUGAAUGAUGAAGGUCUUAGGAUUGUAAAAUUCUUUCACCGGGGACGAUAAUGACGGUACCCGGAGAAGAAGCCCCGGCUAACUUCGUGCCAGCAGCCGCGGUAAUACGAAGGGGGCUAGCGUUGCUCGGAAUUACUGGGCGUAAAGGGCGCGUAGGCGGACAGCUUAGUCAGAGGUGAAAGCCCAGGGCUCAACCUUGGAAUUGCCUUUGAUACUGGCUGUCUUGAGUGUGGGAGAGGUGAGUGGAACUCCGAGUGUAGAGGUGAAAUUCGUAGAUAUUCGGAAGAACACCAGUGGCGAAGGCGACUCACUGGCCCAAUACUGACGCUGAGGCGCGAAAGCGUGGGGAGCAAACAGGAUUAGAUACCCGGGUAGUCC